AAGAUGUGCCACAAAUACUUGUCAUUUUCGUCCGCCAACCAUACUUUGGCUGUUAGUUCCUGAUACACCUGAAGAUGAGUUGUGUCUUUGAUCCCCGUUACCAAAAACAUUAAGAUCUUCAAAUAACCUAUAAGAUGGAAUGAAGGGUUUUUGUCCAGCAGUAGAGGAUGUCGUCUUGGGGCUAGGCCGAAUCUGUGCAUCCCCAUUGAUAGCUACACCAUUGCUUCCCAUAGUAGGAAUUGAGUUAACAUUCUGUACAGGUCUAGGACCUUGCAAAGGCAUGGAUGUGUUUUGUGGAGUUGAGUACAUAUAGGACGGUCUAGUUGAAUGAUUCAGAUUGCUAAAAUAUCCGGGAGUUGAUGCCCAAGGUGGAGGCGGAUAAGCAGAGUACUGUGGGAAUUGAGUCUGAGCACGUGGCGGUAAUUGUUGAGGCUGAGGAUGAAGUUCUAGCUGAGUUCUAGGUUGUUGGUUCAGUUCAGUUUGUAAAGGACAUUGUGGAAGCUGUUGCGAGGUAUGCUGAGAUUGUAAUGAUGAUUCUUGGGGAUACUGUGGUUGAGGCCGAGGAUGAGGUUGAUGCAGAGGCUGGGCUUGAGGUUGGGCCUGGGCCUGGGUCUGGAACUGCGCUUGGGUUGGGGUUUGAAAUUGGUGAUGAUAUUGAGGUUGGGACUGAGGUUGGGACUGAGGUUGAAACUGAGGAGGAAACUGAGGUUGCGACUGAGAUUGAGGUUGGGGUUGGGGCUGAGUCUGAGCCCAAGGAGCUACAUAACUGUUAAAGCUCUGAUCUUGAUAUCCAAGAUAAGCUUGAGAUGCAUAUGGAUUCCCUUGCGUGGUUGAGGCAACAGGCUCCUGAUGCGUGCUAUGAUUGGCUGAAGCAGAAUUUUGUGGGGUCUCGGGAUAUAUACUUGAUGACAAGGUCAGGCUCAAGAGAUCAAUUAUAUCUUGUUCUUUCGUGGGCAUAGCAGUUGGAGGCGGAUCUCGAAGAAUCAAUGCAUUGCUUGUGACAGGAUCCAAUGAUUCUCCCGUAGAAUUGCUAUUAUAGGCAGAGACCAUACCUUCACUUGUUUGCGCUGCUGGACUUGUUUUUGAAUGUCUGCAUCAGCACAAGCGACAACUUCAUUAGAGAAGACAGACCCAAAGCUGUAAAUACAUCAUAAAUCGCAGUUAGUACUUUUGACUUCCAAUAACAUUUAAGGGCAACAUAGUGCACUAAGCUCCCGCUAUGUGCGAGGUCCGGGAAGGACCGGACCACAUUGGAUCUUAUGUAUGCAGCCUUACCAUGCAUUUCUGCAAGAGGCUUGCCGUGAUUAAAUCCAAAUAAAAGUCACUAGCCUUUAUAUUGAGAACUACCCACCCCCCUUCCUUUCUUCAACCAUCUGAACCUUUUGGAAAACCAAAACGACAAUUAAGAAGUACAAUAACGGUCACAACUACAUAAAAAUUUCCUUCCUAUGAAAGUAAUAGCCUGAAAAUCUUGAUCUCUGCCAUGCAUCCACAGCUCUGCAUAAGAGCAAUGAGUUGUUUUAUAUUGGAAGUAAAUGCAGGUUUUGUAUAUUUACCUUCGAGCUAACUGGGCAAAGUCAUCUUCUUCAUCUUCCUCUUCAUCAAUUUGACCUGCUGUUGGUGCAAGAACUGGUGCAGAAGGUUUUGCAUCUGCUGCUGGAGUAGGUGGCUCAACUUCAGCAGGUUUGAGGCUUGGAUCAUGCAUUUCUCUAGCUGAGAUGUUGUUGUUUGGGACUUCAGUUGGAAGUGGAGAACCAGAAGCUAUUGCGUCAUGUUUAGCCAGCACCAUUUGGAGGUUAUCAUUUAAUUCAAGACCCUGAGCCAGAAGUUCUUCAUC
Molecule: long non-coding RNA, 1837 nt
Filed under: Nicotiana tabacum (common tobacco)
Lineage: Eukaryota; Viridiplantae; Streptophyta; Magnoliopsida; Solanales; Solanaceae
Description: long non-coding RNA (NTAB_LNC000172)
Source: RNAcentral